GUGGGGAAUUUUGGACAAUGGGCGCAAGCCUGAUCCAGCCAUUCCGCGUGCAGGAUGAAGGCCUUCGGGUUGUAAACUGCUUUUGUACGGAACGAAAAGGUUCUCUCUAAUACAGGGGGCUGAUGACGGUACCGUAAGAAUAAGCACCGGCUAACUACGUGCCAGCAGCCGCGGUAAUACGUAGGGUGCAAGCGUUAAUCGGAAUUACUGGGCGUAAAGCGUGCGCAGGCGGUGAUGUAAGACAGAUGUGAAAUCCCCGGGCUCAACCUGGGAACUGCAUUGGUGACUGCAUUGCUGGAGUGCGGCAGAGGGGGAUGGAAUUCCGCGUGUAGCAGUGAAAUGCGUAGAUAUGCGGAGGAACACCGAUGGCGAAGGCAAUCCCCUGGGCCUGCACUGACGCUCAUGCACGAAAGCGUGGGGAGCAAAAGGGAUUAGAAACCCUAGUAGUCC
RNAcentral lists this ribosomal RNA (450 nucleotides) under uncultured bacterium. Its description in RNAcentral is "partial 16S ribosomal RNA". It matches the Rfam family "Bacterial small subunit ribosomal RNA", at positions 354 to 796 of the family's 1533-position model. The record is from RNAcentral.